ACUGCCUUCGUUGGCUACGAGAUCAAACCAUAAAUCAUAUCCCAACGCACAAAAGAAAGCAAAUCUAUAAAACCAAACAAAAACCAAAAGAGAGGGCCCCUCCAUUGACAGACGUGUCGCAUAACAAACCACAAAACGGGCAUAAAGUCAAUGAACUCUCUCUCGGCUUACGUUUCGGCUUAGAGAGCAUUCUUUUGGCCAAUUUCUCAAGGCCCCGAACUUCCUUCCCCAUGCCGUGCUCCCCGUCUUCGGAGUGCAUAAAUCGAUGACUAUCAAAGCGUUUUUACAGCUAAUGCGGCUAUUUUUAUUCAUUACGUUUUCUUGGCUUUCUUUUAUCGAUUGGAGUCCCGGCCUCGGCCUCGGCCUCAGCCUCAGCCUCGGCUUUGGCUGCGUCCAGUCGUUGACCGUAGUGGCGGCCCAGUGAUUUUGCUCUUCCGCUUGGCCCUAUCAUUAAUAUACACAGACACAGUCUCUCUUUACCUGUAGUCGGUUGCUGGUUUUGCCCCGGAAUUCUCGUCUCUGGCUGCCAAAUUUGCUUUGCAUCUUAGAGCAUCUUGCGAGUAGAUUUUCCUCUCUGAUUUCACAGUCAGAUGUUAGUUUUAAUAAAUAUGUUUUACCUAUGGUCGGCCGUGGAGUCGAGUCAUUUGGCAGUAAUUUCUUUUUAUGGCUCAUUUGCAUGACAGGAGACCGGACCGACCAGUUUCUCGACAUCGGCUGGCGACUGAUUUUCAUUGGAGUUUGGGCUGUCCAGUCGCCUGGGACGACUGUUAAUUGGAUAGAAUGACUGAAAAAUUGCGUCUAUCCGUUCGGGGAACGGGGAAAAAUGUCAUAAUUUUGUGUGGAAAAACAGAUAGCAUCUAUAUGGUAUGCUCGUAAUUAUGAUAUAACCCAGCAGACAACAGCACAGGAAGUGGGCCCUGGACCAAAGUUUGGGGCGUAAACGAAACAACUUUCUUAGUGGAGUGUGUAAAAGUAUUUGCCCAUUAUCUAUCUCUGGUGUACAUGUUAAAAAUGUAGCCUUUGGCUGCCAAUAAAACCUUCAACGGGCCAAAGGUACGACGAGUACAGCCCCAGACCUCAGACCUCUUUUGGAAGUUGGCAGAGGAGUUGAGUUUCCCUUACGAUUUAUCUAUUUCGGUUUAUCAGCUAAUAAACGCUUAAAUAAAA
Molecule: long non-coding RNA, 1167 nt
Organism: Drosophila pseudoobscura
Lineage: Eukaryota; Metazoa; Arthropoda; Insecta; Diptera; Drosophilidae
Exons: 2
Source: RefSeq, a predicted model, not a curated record